GUGUAAGCCUGUGAAGGUGUGUUGUAAAGCAUGCUGGAGGUAUCACAAGAGCGAAUGCUGACGUGAGUAACGACAAAACGGGUGAAAAGCCCGUUCGCCGGAAGACCAAGGGUUCCAGUCCAACGUUAAUCGGGGCUGGGUGAGUCGACCCCUAAGGCGAGGCCGAGAGGCGUAGUCGCUGCGACGCUGUUUGUUCUCGGGAAUGAAUUGUUUGACGCCAUCGAGCACAGAGUCGCCUCCUGUUCGUGAGCCG
Molecule: ribosomal RNA, 253 nt
Filed under: Mycobacterium tuberculosis
Lineage: Bacteria; Bacillati; Actinomycetota; Actinomycetes; Mycobacteriales; Mycobacteriaceae
Description: partial 23S ribosomal RNA
Rfam family: Bacterial large subunit ribosomal RNA
Source: RNAcentral